This 220-nucleotide ribosomal RNA is filed under the name Escherichia coli. Its description in RNAcentral is "partial 23S ribosomal RNA". It matches the Rfam family "Bacterial large subunit ribosomal RNA", at positions 1 to 221 of the family's 2925-position model. Lineage: Bacteria; Pseudomonadati; Pseudomonadota; Gammaproteobacteria; Enterobacterales; Enterobacteriaceae. The record is from RNAcentral.
GGUUAAGCGACUAAGCGUACACGGUGGAUGCCCUGGCAGUCAGAGGCGAUGAAGGACGUGCUAAUCUGCGAUAAGCGUCGGUAAGGUGAUAUGAACCGUUAUAACCGGCGAUUUCCGAAUGGGGAAACCCAGUGUGAUUCGUCACACUAUCAUUAACUGAAUCCAUAGGUUAAUGAGGCGAACCGGGGGAACUGAAACAUCUAAGUACCCCGAGGAAAAG